RNAcentral lists this ribosomal RNA (370 nucleotides) under uncultured bacterium. Its description in RNAcentral is "bacterial SSU rRNA". It matches the Rfam family "Bacterial small subunit ribosomal RNA", at positions 527 to 896 of the family's 1533-position model. The record is from RNAcentral.
GUAGGGUGCGAGCGUUAAUCGGAAUUACUGGGCGUAAAGCGUGCGCAGGCGGUUUUGUAAGCCAGAUGUGAAAUCCCCGGGCUUAACCUGGGAAUGGCAUUUGGGACUGCAAGGCUGGAGUUUGGCAGAGGAGACUGGAAUUCCUGGUGUAGCAGUGAAAUGCGUAGAUAUCAGGAGGAAUACCGAUGGCGAAGGCAGGUCUCUGGGCUAUAACUGACGCUCAUGCACGAAAGCGUGGGGAGCAAACAGGAUUAGAUACCCUGGUAGUCCACGCCCUAAACGAUGUCGACUGGUUGUUGGGGGUUUGACACUCUCAGUAACGAAGCUAACGCGUGAAGUCGACCGCCUGGGGAGUACGGCCGCAAGGUUA